RNAcentral lists this ribosomal RNA (443 nucleotides) under uncultured bacterium. RNAcentral describes it as "partial 16S ribosomal RNA". It matches the Rfam family "Bacterial small subunit ribosomal RNA", at positions 338 to 795 of the family's 1533-position model. The record is from RNAcentral.
CCUACGGGAGGCAGCAGUGGGGGAUAUUGGACAAUGGGGGGAACCCUGAUCCAGCGACGCCGCGUGAGUGAAGAAGUAUUUCGGUAUGUCAAGCUCUGUCAGCAGGGAAGAAAGCAAUGACGGUACCUGACCAAGAAGCCCCGGCUAACUACGUGCCAGCAGCCGCGGUAAUACGUAGGGGGCAAGCGUUAACCGGAAUUACGGGGUGUAAGGGGAGCGUAGACGGGUGUGCAAGUCUGGAGUGAAAGGCGGGGGCCCAACCCCCGGACUGCUCUGGAAACUGUAUGGCUGGAGUGCAGGAGAGGUAAGCGGAAUUCCUAGUGUAGCGGUGAAAUGCGUAGAUAUUAGGAGGAACACCAGUGGCGAAGGCGGCUUACUGGACUGUAACUGACGUUGAGGCUCGAAAGCGUGGGGAGCAAACAGGAUUAGAUACCCUAGUAGUC